GAUGAACGCUAGCGGCAGGCUUAACACAUGCAAGUCGAGGGGUAGAAGGAGCUUGCUCCUUUGAGACCGGCGCACGGGUGCGUAACGCGUAUGCAAUCUACCUUUUGCAGAGGAUAGCCCAGAGAAAUUUGGAUUAAUACCUCAUAGUAUGUGAGGAUGGCAUCAUUUUCACAUUAAAGUCACAACGGCAAAGAUGAGCAUGCGUCCCAUUAGCUAGUUGGUAAGGUAACGGCUUACCAAGGCUACGAUGGGUAGGGUCCUGAGAGGAGAUCCCCCACACUGGUACUGAGACACGGACCAGACUCCUACGGGAGGCAGCAGUGAGGAAUAUUGGAC
RNAcentral lists this ribosomal RNA (336 nucleotides) under uncultured bacterium. RNAcentral's name for it is "bacterial SSU rRNA". It matches the Rfam family "Bacterial small subunit ribosomal RNA", at positions 28 to 369 of the family's 1533-position model. The record is from RNAcentral.